RNAcentral lists this ribosomal RNA (504 nucleotides) under uncultured bacterium. RNAcentral describes it as "partial 16S ribosomal RNA". It matches the Rfam family "Bacterial small subunit ribosomal RNA", at positions 30 to 523 of the family's 1533-position model. The record is from RNAcentral.
AUUGAACGCUGGCGGCAGGCCUAACACAUGCAAGUCGAUCGGUAGCACAGAGAGCUUGCUCUUGGGUGACGAGUGGCGGACGGGUGAGUAAUGUCUGGGAAACUGCCCGAUGGAGGGGGAUAACUACUGGAAACGGUAGCUAAUACCGCAUAACGUCUUCGGACCAAAGUGGGGGACCUUCGGGCCUCACACCAUCGGAUGUGCCCAGAUGGGAUUAGCUAGUAGGUGGGGUAAUGGCUCACCUAGGCGACGAUCCCUAGCUGGUCUGAGAGGAUGACCAGCCACACUGGAACUGAGACACGGUCCAGACUCCUACGGGAGGCAGCAGUGGGGAAUAUUGCACAAUGGGCGCAAGCCUGAUGCAGCCAUGCCGCGUGUAUGAAGAAGGCCUUCGGGUUGUAAAGUACUUUCAGCGGGGAGGAAGGCGUUAAGGUUAAUAACCUUGGCGAUUGACGUUACCCGCAGAAGAAGCACCGGCUAACUCCGUGCCAGCCGCCGCGGUAA